This 497-nucleotide ribosomal RNA is filed under the name uncultured bacterium. RNAcentral describes it as "partial 16S ribosomal RNA". It matches the Rfam family "Bacterial small subunit ribosomal RNA", at positions 28 to 507 of the family's 1533-position model. The record is from RNAcentral.
GAUGAACGCUGGCGGCUUGCCUAAUACAUGCAAGUCGAGCGGACAGACGAGGAGCUUGCUCCUCUGACGUUAGCGGCGGACGGGUGAGUAACACGUGGAUAACCUACCUAUAAGACUGGGAUAACUUCGGGAAACCGGAGCUAAUACCGGAUAAUAUAUUGAACCGCAUGGUUCAAUAGUGAAAGACGGUUUUGCUGUCACUUAUAGAUGGAUCCGCGCCGCAUUAGCUAGUUGGUAAGGUAACGGCUUACCAAGGCAACGAUGCGUAGCCGACCUGAGAGGGUGAUCGGCCACACUGGAACUGAGACACGGUCCAGACUCCUACGGGAGGCAGCAGUAGGGAAUCUUCCGCAAUGGGCGAAAGCUUGACGGAGCAACGCCGCGUGAGUGAUGAAGGUCUUCGGAUCGUAAAACUCUGUUAUUAGGGAAGAACAAAUGUGUAAGUAACUAUGCACGUCUUGACGGUACCUAAUCAGAAAGCCACGGCUAACUACGUG